UAACUUGGCGGGCUUGACAUGCCGCGAGUAGGAAACCGAAAGGGGACCGACCGGUUCAGUCCGGAAGCGGAACAGGUGCUGCAUGGCUGUCGUCAGCUCGUGCCGUGAGGUGUUGGGUUCAGUCCCGCAACGAGCGCAACCCUCGCCCUCUGUUGCCACCGGGUCAUGCCGGGCACUCUGAGGGGACUGCCAACGACAAGUUGGAGGAAGGAGAGGAUGACGUCAAGUCAUCAUGGCCCUUAUGCCCAGGGCCACACACUUGCAACAAUGGCCGGUACAGACUGAAGCAAGACCGAGAGGUGGAGCAAAUCCGAGAAAGCCGGUCCCAGUUCUCAUUGAGGUCUGCACUCGACCUCAUGAAGUCGGAAUCGGCUGGUAAUCGCGUAUCACCACGACGCGGUGAAUACAUUCCCGGGCCUUGUACACACCGCCCGUCACACCAUCAAAGUCUGUUGUACCUGAAGUCGGUGCCCCAACCGGAAACUUCGGAGCCGCCCA
RNAcentral lists this ribosomal RNA (498 nucleotides) under Leptospirillum sp. enrichment culture DGGE gel band B6. Its description in RNAcentral is "bacterial SSU rRNA". It matches the Rfam family "Bacterial small subunit ribosomal RNA", at positions 966 to 1459 of the family's 1533-position model. Lineage: Bacteria; Pseudomonadati; Nitrospirota; Nitrospiria; Nitrospirales; Nitrospiraceae. The record is from RNAcentral.